This 381-nucleotide ribosomal RNA is filed under the name Salmonella enterica subsp. enterica. Its description in RNAcentral is "bacterial LSU rRNA". It matches the Rfam family "Bacterial large subunit ribosomal RNA", at positions 648 to 1026 of the family's 2925-position model. The record is from RNAcentral. Lineage: Bacteria; Pseudomonadati; Pseudomonadota; Gammaproteobacteria; Enterobacterales; Enterobacteriaceae.
AACCCGUGUGGGGAAGCCGUAGCGAAAGCGAGUCCGAACAGGGCGCCCAUAGUUGCAGGGUAUAGACCCGAAGCGAAGCGAUCUAGCCAUGGGCAGGUUGAAGCGCGGGUAAGACCGCGCGGAGGACCGAACCCACCAGGGUUGAAAACCUGGGGGAUGACCUGUGGCUAGGGGCGAAAGGCCAAUCAAACUUCGUGAUAGCUGGUUCUCCCCGAAAGCCAUUUAGGUGCAGCGUCACGUGUUUCUUGCCGGAGGUAGAGCUACUGGAUGGCCGAUGGGCCCUACAAGGUUACUGACGUCAGCCAAACUCCGAAUGCCGGUAAGUGAAAGCGUGGCAGUGAGACUGCGGGGGAUAAGCUCCGUAGUCGAGAGGGAAACAGC